Molecule: ribosomal RNA, 449 nt
Filed under: uncultured bacterium
Lineage: Bacteria
Description: bacterial SSU rRNA
Rfam family: Bacterial small subunit ribosomal RNA
Source: RNAcentral
UCAAGAAACUUCCACAAUGGGCGAAAGCCUGAUGGAGCGACGUCGCGUGAUGGACGAAGUGCUUCGGCACGUAAACAUCUUUUAUGUGGGAUGAAAUUAUUGACAGUACCACAUGAAUAAGGGGCUCCUAACUCUGUGCCAGCAGGAGCGGUAAUACAGAGGCCCCAAGCGUUAUCCGGAAUCACUGGGCGUAAAGGGUGUCGAGGCGGUUGUAUUAGUCGUUCGUAAAAUCUACGAGCUUAACUUGUAGGCGGCGAACGAAACGGUACGACUUGAGGUUUGGAGAGGUGCGUGGAACUCACGGUGUAGGGGUGAAAUCCGUUGAUAUCGUGGGGAACACCAAAGGCGAAGGCGGCGCACUGGCCAAAAUCUGACGCUCACACACGAAAGCUAGGGUAGCGAAGAGGAUUAGAUACCCAGUAGUCCCUGAGCGGGCUGGCAAGGCGCAU